AAGAAAACCAGGAAAAUGUUUAAGCU
Molecule: non-coding RNA, 26 nt
Filed under: Mus musculus (house mouse)
Lineage: Eukaryota; Metazoa; Chordata; Mammalia; Rodentia; Muridae
Source: RNAcentral